This 549-nucleotide ribosomal RNA is filed under the name uncultured bacterium. Its description in RNAcentral is "bacterial SSU rRNA". It matches the Rfam family "Bacterial small subunit ribosomal RNA", at positions 355 to 895 of the family's 1533-position model. The record is from RNAcentral.
UAGGGAAUCUUCGGCAAUGGGGGCAACCCUGACCGAGCAACGCCGCGUGAGUGAAGAAGGUUUUCGGAUCGUAAAGCUCUGUUGUAAGUCAAGAACGAGUGUGAGAGUGGAAAGUUCACACUGUGACGGUAGCUUACCAGAAAGGGACGGCUAACUACGUGCCAGCAGCCGCGGUAAUACGUAGGUCCCGAGCGUUGUCCGGAUUUAUUGGGCGUAAAGCGAGCGCAGGCGGUUUGAUAAGUCUGAAGUUAAAGGCUGUGGCUCAACCAUAGUUCGCUUUGGAAACUGCCAAACUUGAGUGCAGAAGGGGAGAGUGGAAUUCCAUGUGUAGCGGUGAAAUGCGUAGAUAUAUGGAGGAACACCGGUGGCGAAAGCGGCUCUCUGGUCUGUAACUGACGCUGAGGCUCGAAAGCGUGGGGAGCGAACAGGAUUAGAUACCCUGGUAGUCCACGCCGUAAACGAUGAGUGCUAGGUGUUGGAUCCUUUCCGGGAUUCAGUGCCGCAGCUAACGCAUUAAGCACUCCGCCUGGGGAGUACGACCGCAAGGUU